This 468-nucleotide ribosomal RNA is filed under the name uncultured bacterium. Its description in RNAcentral is "partial 16S ribosomal RNA". It matches the Rfam family "Bacterial small subunit ribosomal RNA", at positions 28 to 507 of the family's 1533-position model. The record is from RNAcentral.
GACGAACGCUGGCGGCGUGCUUUACACAUGCAAGUCGAACGGAAAGGCCCUGCUUUUGUGGGGUGCUCGAGUGGCGAACGGGUGAUUAACCCGUGAGUAACCUGCCCUUGACUUUGGGAUAACUUCAGGAAACUGGGGCUAAUACCGGAUAGGAGCUCCUGCUGCAUGGUGGGGGUUGGACAGUUUCGGCGGUUGGGGAUGGACUCGCGGCUUAUCAGCUUGUUGGUGGGGUAGUGGCUUACCAAGGCUUUGACGGGUAGCCGGCCUGAGCGGGUGACCGGCCACAUUGGGACUGAGAUGAGGCCCAGGCUCCUACGGGAGGCAGCAGUGGGGAAUAUUGCACAAUGGGCGGAAGCCUGAUGCAGCAACGCCGCGUGCGGGAUGACGGCCUUCGGGUUGUAAACCGCUUUCGCCUGAGACGAAGCGUGAGUGAAGGUAAUGGGUAGAGAAGCACCGGCUAACUACGUG